GGCAGCACUGUUAUCGUCUCAAGUGAGGAUCCAGUGCUAUGGGGCCAAAGGCACUUAGGGAGAGGGCAGUAACCACAGCAUCCACCUUCUAGCCUAUGCCCUUGCACUGUGCGGCAGGAUGAGCUGAUAGGUGGUGACUACAGGCAGCAGCAACAAGGAACACGGCCUUGCAGUCAGAGGACAUCGAGGAAAUAUUCUAAAUCCAGUGGCUGGAAGCUGAAGUUGGACAUAAAUAAGGCACACUUUAACAGUGAAGCUUUGGUUGGUGCAAAUCCAAGCUAUUCAGAGAGAACUGUCGAUCCCUUGCUGCAGAUUGUUGGUGUUAUGAGGGAGAAAGGAAAGGAAUAUAGAACACAGAUGGAGGUAUUCUAGAUCCCAGUUACAAACAUCAAUCUUGCCCCAGAGUUCAAGCCUGUCUCCAUGGAAAACCACACGACUAAAAGCCUACUGAAAACCAUGGAGGAAAGCCUCCUGUUGCAGACAAGCUGUAUGACUGCCAGUUCCAUAUCCUGCUUGCUUUACUGACAGGAGUAAUUCCAAUGAAGUCAGUGGGCCUACUUACAUGAGUCAGAAACUGGUGCAGUAAAAGAUAUUACCUCACACACCUUGUCUUUCGAAUAUCCUGGGACCAACAUGGCUACAUCAACACUACAAACAACAUUCAUAGAUUUUUGGAAUUCCAGGAGAAGAGAUGAAAAGGAAAGGAGGGAGAAAGAGAGGAAUGAGGAAUGGUGAAGAAGAGAGGAAAUAUGUUGGGU
Mauremys reevesii (Reeves's turtle) is the source of this 758-nucleotide long non-coding RNA. RefSeq lists it as uncharacterized. The transcript has 6 exons. The record is from RefSeq and is a predicted model, not a curated record. NCBI's taxonomy places the organism in Eukaryota, Metazoa, Chordata, Testudines, Geoemydidae.